This 245-nucleotide ribosomal RNA is filed under the name uncultured Verrucomicrobiales bacterium. RNAcentral describes it as "partial 16S ribosomal RNA". It matches the Rfam family "Bacterial small subunit ribosomal RNA", at positions 1138 to 1382 of the family's 1533-position model. The record is from RNAcentral. Lineage: Bacteria; Pseudomonadati; Verrucomicrobiota; Verrucomicrobiia; Verrucomicrobiales.
CUCUAUUCAGACUGCCCAGGUCAACUGGGAGGAAGGUGGGGAUGACGUCAGGUCAGUAUGGCCCUUACGCCUUGGGCUGCACACGUACUACAAUGUCCAGUACAAUGAGAACCGAGACCGCGAGGUGGAGGAAAUCUGCAAAACUGGGCCCAGUUCGGAUUGGAGGCUGCAACUCGCCUCCAUGAAGUUGGAAUCGCUAGUAAUGGCACAUCAGCUACGGUGCCGUGAAUACGUUCCCGGGUCUU